AGUCGUAAACCAGGUAGCCGUAUCGGAAGGUGCGGCUGGAUCACCUCCUUUUGAGCAUGACGUCAUCGUCCUGUCGGGCGUCCUCACAAAUUACCUGCAUUCAGAGAUGCGUAUCGGCACAGGCCGGUAUGCGAAAGUCCCAUCAUGGGGCCUUAGCUCAGCUGGGAGAGCACCUGCUUUGCAAGCAGGGGGUCGUCGGUUCGAUCCCGACAGGCUCCACCAUUUGAGUGAAACGACUUUGGGUCUGUAGCUCAGGUGGUUAGAGCGCACCCCUGAUAAGGGUGAGGUCGGUGGUUCGAGUCCUCCCAGACCCACCACUCUGAAUGUAGUGCACACUUAAGAAUUUAUAUGGCUCAGCGUUGAGGCUGAGACAUGUUCUUUUAUAACUUGUGACGUAGCGAGCGUUUGAGAUAUCUAUCUAAACGUGUCGUUGAGGCUAAGGCGGGGACUUCGAGUCCCUAGAAAUUGAGUCGUAUGUUCGCGUUGGUGGCUUUGUACCCCACACAACACGGCGUAUGGCCCCGAGGCAACUUGGGGUUAUAUGGUCAAGCGAAUAAGCGCACACGGUGGAUCCCUUGGCACA
Molecule: transfer RNA, 583 nt
Filed under: Xanthomonas phaseoli pv. phaseoli
Lineage: Bacteria; Pseudomonadati; Pseudomonadota; Gammaproteobacteria; Lysobacterales; Lysobacteraceae
Description: partial contains 16S ribosomal RNA, 16S-23S ribosomal RNA intergenic spacer, and 23S ribosomal RNA
Rfam family: tRNA (bases 241-314)
Source: RNAcentral